UUGAUCAUGGCUCAGGAUGAACGCUAGCGGCAGGCCUAAUACAUGCAAGUCGAACGAGAUUAUCCAGCUUGCUGGAUAUGAAAGUGGCGCACGGGUGCGUAACGCGUAUGCAACCUACCUUAAUCAGGGGGAUAGCCCGAAGAAAUUCGGAUUAACACCGCAUAAAAACACAGGGUAGCAUUACUCAAUGUUCAAAUAUUUAUAGGAUUAAGAUGGGCAUGCGUGUCAUUAGCUAGUUGGCGGGGUAACGGCCCACCAAGGCGACGAUGACUAGGGGAUCUGAGAGGAUGACCCCCCACACUGGUACUGAGACACGGACCAGACUCCUACGGGAGGCAGCAGUAAGGAAUAUUGGUCAAUGGAGGCAACUCUGAACCAGCCAUGCCGCGUGCAGGAAGACAGCCCUAUGGGUCGUAAACUGCUUUUAUCCGGGAAUAAACCUUUCUACGUGUAGAGAGCUGAAUGUACUGGAAGAAUAAGGAUCGGCUAACUCCGUGCCAGCAGCCGCGGUAAUACGGAGGAUCCAAGCGUUAUCCGGAUUUAUUGGGUUUAAAGGGUGCGUAGGCGGCCUGUUAAGUCAGAGGUGAAAGACGGUAGCUCAACUAUCGCAGUGCCUUUGAUACUGAUGGGCUUGAAUGAACUAGAGGUAGGCGGAAUGAGACAAGUAGCGGUGAAAUGCAUAGAUAUGUCUCAGAACACCGAUUGCGAAGGCAGCUUACUAUGGUUUUAUUGACGCUGAGGCACGAAAGCGUGGGGAGCAAAC
Molecule: ribosomal RNA, 763 nt
Filed under: uncultured bacterium
Lineage: Bacteria
Description: bacterial SSU rRNA
Rfam family: Bacterial small subunit ribosomal RNA
Source: RNAcentral